GACUGCAGUAUGCACCCUUUCUUCCCUCAGGGCACACCCUGGUAUUGGGGAUCUUGCCUGGUGGUAUUUGGGAUGCCCUUGAUGUUGGAUGUUUAUCAGGGUGCAAGGCAGGAGAGCAAGUGAAUGGGG
Long non-coding RNA from Bufo bufo (common toad), 129 nucleotides. RefSeq lists it as uncharacterized. The record is from RefSeq and is a predicted model, not a curated record. Lineage: Eukaryota; Metazoa; Chordata; Amphibia; Anura; Bufonidae. The transcript has 3 exons.